Molecule: long non-coding RNA, 1880 nt
Organism: Plodia interpunctella (Indianmeal moth)
Lineage: Eukaryota; Metazoa; Arthropoda; Insecta; Lepidoptera; Pyralidae
Exons: 4
Source: RefSeq, a predicted model, not a curated record
GUGUCUUUUCCUUUCAUAAAAACUUAUCUAUGAUUGACAAGAAAUUUGGUUUCUCCACUAGUGCGUACAAUAUUGAAUUUAAAUUCCUAUUGCAUUUCGUUUCAUCUUUGAUGUAUUCGAAAGCAGCUUUAUUAUUUUAUUAUUUUUGUGACGAAAAUUUUCAUGAUGUUCCUUUUUAUUUGAUAUUUAUAUUUGAAUGCCCAUUUCUCGUAUCUCACUCGGUGAUUGUUGUGUUUACUAUCUUAUUUUAUUCUGUUUAUUGUCGAAUGCUUUGCCUUACAAAUUUGACAUUAAAUUAUACGAAUGGCAACAGUUCUUGUCAACAUGCUUAUCUGGAACUAGCCGAUUUAAUGGAGGAAAGACAAAAAAUCUUUGGUUGCAUGUAUUUUUGGUGCAUAAUGUUUCACGUGGCAGAUAUAAUGUUGGCCCUGUUCAACGCUCUAAAUAUUGUAGAUCUUUCUUCUGUUAAUCCCUUUUCACUUAAUAAUAAUGCUAUCUCAUUGAUGUGGCAAAAUAUUAAAGUAAUCAUGAUAGCAAUGGCCAUCAAUGUAAUUCCAAUUUUUCUGCUCAUUCUGGCCCCAAUUUAUACCGCAAAUUUACUAUCGUCACAAGUUAACAAAUUGAAGAUCGUGUUGAUGGAUAGACUUUUGCAUGAAAGAGACAAAGAUCACUACGUUGCCCUAGACAAGUUCAUCUGUUACAUCGAAGCUCGACCCUUCAGAUACACUAUUGCUGACAUCAUACCCCUGGAGUGGACACUAGUCUCUAUUGUUUUAAAAAUUAUGUCUACGUACAUUAUUGUUCUCCUACAAAUGCAUUAAUUUAAUUAUUAAAGCGGGAUUUUAAUUCGCCCUAUCAUAAUUUGAUUAUAAUUUUAUUUCUUCGGUACAUAAUGUUAACUUCCUUUUAUUAUCUGUCACUUGUCAUUUCUUGAUCUAUCCACAGCCGCUUCUUUAUCGUCUGUUAUUUUAAUCUACAAUUUGGAAUUAAUUAUACUAUUUUAAGCUCAGGAUAAUGAAUAUUUAUCCAGAUAAUUUUAUCUCUUUGCUUAAUAUUAAGUGCAUGUAGCCAUUGUGGCAUGGACUGGCCACUUGUUUCUGUAUUUUUAUGACGAUGUUAUUAACUGUCAGUGUCAAGCUCAAUAAAUCAGUCUACAGCCAGCUUCCGUCUUUCAUUCGUUGCAUUGGCGCAGUCGGUUGAAAUUAUUAUUUGUUUUUGUGUUAAUCCUUAAAUACUAUGCCGAUCGGUAAAUUAGAGGCGUUUAAUGCGAAUUCGCAACAAUGGCCGGCAUACAUACGUCGCGUAAAUCAGUAUAUUUUGUUAAAUGAAGUGAAGAAUGAGUUAAAAGUGCCUUUAUUAAUUACGGUUGUUGGCGAAUCAACAUAUGCUUUAAUGUGUGAUCUGUGUUCACCGGAGUUACCAGAAAAUAAAUCAUAUGAUGAUUUAGUAGCCUUAAUUAAAGAGCAUUUAGAACCCCAAAGAUCAGAAAUUGCGGAACGUCACGUAUUUAGACUACGAAGACAACGAACCGGAGAAUCCAUGAUGGAGUAUUUGCAGGCUUUAAAGCAUCUUGCCGCGACUUGUAAUUUUGGUAAAUGCAAUUCGUGUUCGACGUUAGAGGAAAAUCUGAGGGAUCAGUUUGUGUCUGGAUUGAUCAAUGAUGCCAUGCGAUCCAGAAUUUUUGCGGAAAAGCAUAUCAAGUACAAGGAAGCUGUGGAGCUGGCUUUGGCUCUGGAGGCCGCGGAGAAGCACGCGGAAGUCAGUGGUACCAGGGAGAGUGUAAACCCGGGGUCGAGCAGCGUCGACGCGGGGGAUGGUCUCCAUUAUACUCGCGGGGGACGAGGAAUAGCACGGGGGCAGCGGGGUCGAGGCGCAGGGCG